UGAAGCUGGCGGUAUGCUUUACACAUGCAAGUCGAACGGCAGCAUAGGUGCUUGCACCUGAUGGCGAGUGGCGAACGGGUGAGUAAUGCAUCGGAACGUGCCCAGUCGUGGGGGAUAACGCAGCGAAAGCUGUGCUAAUACCGCAUACGAUCUAUGGAUGAAAGCGGGGGACCUUCGGGCCUCGCGCGAUUGGAGCGGCCGAUGUUAGAUUAGGUAGUUGGUGAGGUAAAGGCUCACCAAGCCUACGAUCUAUAGCUGGUCUGAGAGGACGACCAGCCACACUGGAACUGAGACACGGUCCAGACUCCUACGGGAGGCAGCAGUGGGGAAUUUUGGACAAUGGGCGAAAGCCUGAUCCAGCAAUACCGCGUGCAGGAAGAAGGCCUUCGGGUUGUAAACUGCUUUUGUACGGAACGAAACGGUCUAGAUUAAUACUCUGGGCUAAUGACGGUACCGUAAGAAUAAGCACCGGCUAACUACGUGCCAGCAGCCGCGGUAAUACGUAGGGUGCAAGCGUUAAUCGGAAUUACUGGGCGUAAAGCGUGCGCAGGCGGUUUUGUAAGACAGGCGUGAAAUCCCCGGGCUCAACCUGGGAAUUGCGCUUGUGACU
Molecule: ribosomal RNA, 610 nt
Filed under: uncultured beta proteobacterium
Lineage: Bacteria; Pseudomonadati; Pseudomonadota; Betaproteobacteria
Description: bacterial SSU rRNA
Rfam family: Bacterial small subunit ribosomal RNA
Source: RNAcentral